AAUGAACGCUGGCGGCAGGCCUAACACAUGCAAGUCGAACGGAAACAGGAAGCAGCUUGCUGCUUGACGUACGAGGGGGGGGCGUGUGAGACAUGUCGGGGAAAUACCUUGAUGGAGGGGGUAAACUACGGGAAACGGUAGCUAAGACCGCAUAACGAUGCAAGCGCAAAGAGGGGGACCGUAGGGCGGCUUGCCAGCGGAUGUGACCAGAUGGGAUUAGGCAGUAGGUGGGGGAACGGCUCACCUAGGCGACGAUCCCUAGCGGGUCUGAGAGGAUGACCAGCCACACUGGCACUGAGACACGGUCCAGACUCCUACGGGAGGCAGCAGUGGGGAAUAUUGCACACUGGGCGCAAGCCUGAUGCAGCCAUGCCGCGUGUAUGAAGAAGGCCUUCGGGUUGUAAAGUACUUUCAGCGGGGAGGAAGGGAGUAAAGUUAAUACCUUUGCUCAUUGACGUUACCCGCAGAAGAAGCACCGGCUAACUCCGUG
Molecule: ribosomal RNA, 490 nt
Filed under: uncultured bacterium
Lineage: Bacteria
Description: partial 16S ribosomal RNA
Rfam family: Bacterial small subunit ribosomal RNA
Source: RNAcentral